This 45-nucleotide non-coding RNA is filed under the name Schistosoma bovis. RNAcentral also lists the same sequence under 1 other name. The record is from RNAcentral. Lineage: Eukaryota; Metazoa; Platyhelminthes; Trematoda; Strigeidida; Schistosomatidae.
GUCCAGUCGAUGAGUUCCAAAUAGAACGAAAUGCACUUCCUGGAU